This is a long non-coding RNA of Gymnodraco acuticeps, 368 nucleotides long. RefSeq lists it as uncharacterized. The transcript has 2 exons. The record is from RefSeq and is a predicted model, not a curated record. Lineage: Eukaryota; Metazoa; Chordata; Actinopteri; Perciformes; Bathydraconidae.
GUCGUUUGUGAUGCUGGUUGCUACUUUGAUGCUACAUGCUACACACAGGGAUUCCUCCACGAUUCCUAAACAGAUUAACGUUUUGUUAACAAUUGCUGCAAUCAGCGAUCAGGUUUUUUGUUUGGAUAUUUUUUUUUUUUUGCCAGGUGCUUGCUGCACCUGAUGACCUUUCAUGGACCUUGAUGGCGAGCUAAGAUUCUAAACCUAUCCUACCUGCCACAUGGUGAAGUAGGAUUAAACGGAAAUUAAUGAACUUUACCCCGGAAGCUUUUCUUUUGUUGUCUUUUGCCUUUACUGGGCACCUGAAAAUAAUCAUGUGAAUUUGAAUGAACUUGUUGAUAUCUUGAAUACAACUAUUUUGUAACGCA